Molecule: small nuclear RNA, 104 nt
Organism: Balaenoptera musculus (blue whale)
Lineage: Eukaryota; Metazoa; Chordata; Mammalia; Artiodactyla; Balaenopteridae
Source: Ensembl
GUGCUCACUUUAGCAGCACAUAUAAUGUAAUUAGAAUGAUACAGGGAUUAGCAUGGCACGUGUGAAAGAAUAACAUGCAAAUUUGUGAAUUGUUCCAUAUUUUU